AUUGAGAGUUUGAUCCUGGCUCAGGAUGAACGCUAGCUACAGGCUUAACACAUGCAAGUCGAGGGGCAUCGAGAUUGAAGCUUGCUUCAAUUGUCGGCGACCGGCGCACGGGUGAGUAACACGUAUCCAACCUGCCAUUCACUCUCGGAUAGCCUUCCGAAAGGAAGAUUAAUACGAGAUGGUAUCAUGAGUCAGCAUUUUCGCAUGAUUAAAGAAUUUCGGUGGAUGAUGGGGAUGCGUUCCAUUAGGCAGUUGGCGGGGUAACGGCCCACCAAACCUACGAUGGAUAGGGGUUCUGAGAGGAAGGUCCCCCACAUUGGAACUGAGACACGGUCCAAACUCCUACGGGAGGCAGCAGUGAGGAAUAUUGGUCAAUGGACGAGAGUCUGAACCAGCCAAGUAGCGUGAAGGAUGACUGCCCUAUGGGUUGUAAACUUCUUUUAUACGGGAAUAAAGUUCACUACGUGUAGUGUUUUGUAUGUACCGUAUGAAUAAGGAUCGGCUAACUCCGUGCCAGCAGCCGCGGUAAUACGGAGGAUCCGAGCGUUAUCCGGAUUUAUUGGGUUUAAAGGGAGCGUAGAUGGGUGUUUAAGUCAGUUGUGAAAGUUUGCGGCUCAACCGUAAAAUUGCAGUUGAUACUGGACGCCUUGAGUGCAGUUGAGGUAGGCGGAAUUCGUGGUGUAGCGGUGAAAAUGCUUAGAUAUUCGGAGGAACACCGGUGGCGAAAGGCGGCCUACUGGGCUUUAACUGACGCUGAGGCUCGAAAGUGUGGGGGGCAAACAGGAUUAGAUACCCUGGUAGUCCACACUGUAAACGAUGAUUGCUAGGUGUGGGGGGUCUGACCCCUUCCGUGCCGGAGCUAACGCAAUAAGCAAUCCACCUGGGGAGUACGACCGCAAGGUUGAAACUCAAAGGAAUUGACGGGGACCCGCACAAGCAGUGGAUUAUGUGGUUUAAUUCGAAGCAACGCGAAGAACCUUACCAACUCUUGACAUCCAACUAACGAGAUAGAGAUAUGUUAGGUGCCCUUCGGGGAAAGUUGAGACAGGUGGUGCAUGGUUGUCGUCAGCUCGUGUCGUGAGAUGUUGGGUUAAGUCCCGCAACGAGCGCAACCCCUGCCAUUAGUUGCUACGCAAGAGCACUCUAAUGGGACCGCUACCGACAAGGUGGAGGAAGGUGGGGACGACGUCAAAUCAUCAUGCCCCUUAUGAGUUGGGCUACACACGUAAUACAAUGGUCGGCAACAGAGGGAAGCGAAGCCGCGAGGCAGAGCAAACCCCAGAAACCCGAUCUCAGUUCGGAUUGCAGGCUGCAACUCGCCUGCAUGAAGUCGGAAUCGCUAGUAAUCGCAGGUCAGCAUACUGCGGUGAAUACGUUCCCGGGCCUUGUACACACCGCCCGUCACACCACGAAAGUUGGUAACACCCGAAGCCGGUGGGGUAACCGUAAGGAGCCAGCCGUCUAAGGUGGGGCCGAUGAUUGGGGUGAAGUCGUAACAAGGUAGCCGUAAAU
RNAcentral lists this ribosomal RNA (1512 nucleotides) under uncultured bacterium. Its description in RNAcentral is "partial 16S ribosomal RNA". It matches the Rfam family "Bacterial small subunit ribosomal RNA". The record is from RNAcentral.